RNAcentral lists this non-coding RNA (23 nucleotides) under Cricetulus griseus (Chinese hamster). The record is from RNAcentral. Lineage: Eukaryota; Metazoa; Chordata; Mammalia; Rodentia; Cricetidae.
AUUGAGAUCAGGACAGAAAUGUA